UUCCUGCCAUUUACGGUUGAUUAAGCUUUCGCGUUUACAACCGGUACCGUCCUCGUUUGGACACUGAGUGGCUCCUGUCCACUCUGUUUGACGCCUCCCUGUUAUCAACUUCAAAGCCGCCGGCAACGGCGGCUCUUUUUUU
Bradyrhizobium sp. is the source of this 142-nucleotide non-coding RNA. The record is from Rfam. NCBI's taxonomy places the organism in Bacteria, Pseudomonadati, Pseudomonadota, Alphaproteobacteria, Hyphomicrobiales, Nitrobacteraceae.